Long non-coding RNA from Gallus gallus (chicken), 4818 nucleotides. RefSeq lists it as uncharacterized. Lineage: Eukaryota; Metazoa; Chordata; Aves; Galliformes; Phasianidae. The record is from RefSeq and is a predicted model, not a curated record. The transcript has 2 exons.
GCGUGCAAGGAGGAGUUUUGGGAGGCCACUCAAAGAUGUCAAAUCGGGGAUUCCAAACACUGUGCGCUGUGCUUCUGAGCGCUGCGUUGGCUUCCAUCGCCCCGGUACGCUGAAGGAAUAAGCGUGGCUUACAGUGGUAGUUCCGGAGGUCCGCGUACCCAGUCUUGGUACUGGCCGAGCUCCAGUCUGAACGGAAGCCCUUCAGAGCAACGUGGCAUUAGGACUCAUGGCAUCAUAGAAUGGCCUGGGUUGAAAAGGCCCACCACGAUCACCUAGUUCCAACCCCCUGCUAUGUGCAGGGUCGCCAACCGCCAGCCCAGGCUGCCCAGAGCCACAUCCAGCCGCAUCCCCUGAAUGCCUCCAGGGACGGGGCAUCCACAACCUCCUUGGGCACCCUGCUCCAGUGCGUCACCACCCUCGGGGUGAAAAACUUCUUCCUCCUCAUAUCUAACCUAAACCUCCCCUGCCUCAGUUGAAAACCAUUCCCCCUUGUCCUAUCGCUACCCAUCCUCGUAAGCAGCCGUUCCCCGUCCUGUUUAUACGCUCCCUUCAAGUAUUGGAAGGCCACAGUGAGGUCCCCCCGGAGCCUUCUCUCCUGCGAGCUCAACAGGCCCAGUUCCCUCAACCUUUCUUCAUAGGAGAGGUGCUCCAGCCCUCUGCUCAUCCUAGUGGUCCUGCUCUGGACCCGUUCCACGAUCGCUUCUUGUGCUGGGGGCCCCAGGCCUGGGCGCAGUACUGCGGAUGGGGCCUCGCAAGAGCCGAGUAGAGGGGGACAAUCACCUCCCUCUCCCUGCUGGCCACCCCUUUCUUAGUGCAGCCCAGAGCACCGUUGGCCUUCCGGGCUGCAGGCGCGCACUGCUGGCUCACGUCCAGCUUCUCGUCCACCAGGACCCCCGGGUCCUUCUCCGCAGGGCUGCUCUCAAGGAGCUCUUCCCCCACUCUGAAGCGGGCAUUCUUUUCUUAUGGCGCUGACGCAUGGGGGAUCGCUCCGCCCAACUGCGCGCAAAAGAGCUUCAGCUGAUGCGUGUCUCUUGUGUCGUGCAUGUCAAGGUUUUCCCAGACGGCACGCACGUACUCAGUACUUUCCCUGACAUCACUAACGUAGGGUUCUGCGUCCUUGCACGUGCUCGGUCUUUCUGUGGUGGCGGUCCUAAUCGGUGCCUCCGACCUUCGAUGGUCUUCCACGAUCGCUCUCCUCCGCAUUGGUGAGCACCAGGUCUAGUAAUGCUUCGCCUCUGGCCGAUCUGUCCGAUACCCGGAGCAGGAUGUUAUCAUCAACAGGCUGCAGCAGUCUCCUGGAUUGCUUGCAGCUCACCUUGCUCUUUUCCCUGCAUAUAGCUGGGUGGUUGAAAUCCUCCUUCCGGAGGAGAGCUUGGAGCAUGACGGCCCUUGUAGCUGAAGCCAGGCGGCCUCAUCAGCGGGCCGGGGUAGCGCUCUUCACCUCUGUCAGUACGGCGGUGGACGCACCGGCGAGGGCCGAGACCUGUGCCCCUUCGGGGGAAUCCCCGGGGGCGUCUGGUGCAUCCACUCGGGCAGAUAUGGCAAGAAAGCGAAAAUCUACCUGAUGGCGCUGGAAGGGCGGCACUGCCCGCGGCCGGCCUCCCUUUGCUAUUUGCUUCGUUUCUUCUUCGCUUCAGCACGCGGGGCAGACAUAAGGAAUGCAAAUGACUGAUAAAGCAAGCAUCAGCCGUUUCCAACGUUAGAAAUGUUGUUAGAAAGAAAGGCUUCAGGAAGCGGUGGCGCAUUCUCCCGUGGGCAGCGGUGAGGACAAAGGAGUGACAAGCAAGUAUACAUAAAGGUACAUUUUAUUAACGACUUACUCCUAUCGCUGGCAUCCAACAGUAAAAUGGGCAAAAGCCCAACCCGAGGCACGAGGCAGGGAAAUGGAAUCAAAGGGAAACCGGCAGAUGGUCGCUCUCUCUUCCCCUCCCCUUCCGUUCCAGGAAAGGAAACCAGGCCUUCCAGGCUUUGCUGUUUCACUCCACGAUGAGAGGGGUUGUGUAGAGGGAAUGCCGGAUUCCAAACGUGGAUGCAGGCGCCUGGGGCUUGAUCAGCGUCACCUGGAAGGGCGAAAAGGAAAGGCAGUCUGCGUUAAGCAAAGUUGCAGCAGGCUUGGAAGCCCCUGUGGCACAGGGGGAGCAGCCCAGGUUCGGAUGCUAACGCGGAAAAGAGGAGCGGCAGAGCUCACCUUGGCAAGGUCUUCGUCAAACCGACCUCGCUGGCUCCUUCCCCUCACAGAGUAGCAGGGGCUGGCCGAUGUGUAGACUGUGUUGGGCCCCAUCAGCCUGGGCAGCGUGUAGGUGCCAGGACCUGCAGGAGGAGCAGCAGAGAGCGUGUGCGCGAGGGGCUGGAGGAGACGGAAGCAGCAGAGAGGGGCAGCCUGCCCAGCCUGCUGGUGGGAGCAGGAGGGAGGUCUCGCCCCUCUGCCAGUUCCUCCCUCUACUCUGGCACUGGGCCAGCGCCAGCAGCUCCGAGCCUGAGCAGCCGCAGCCGCUGCGGGCCCAGAGGUGUUGGUCGUGCAAGAAAGCUUGCGGCCCCAGCGCCGCGUCCUGCCGCGCAGGCUGUGCAGUAGGCCCGCUGCUGGUGCUGAGCAGCAGCCCGUCCCUGCGGGAUGCUCAGGCUGAAGGGUCUGCCUUUGCCAGGGUCAGCGUACCUGGAGGGUGGUCUGUCCGGAGGGGCUCCCGCCGGAAGGCCAUGGACUGCACCGGUGGGCACUUGAAGACGUGCCUGUUGGCUGCCUCGGUGCGGUAGUCACCUGGGGCGGAAGAGAAGAGGAAGAAAGCCGUGAAGCGCCGGUCUUCUUCUUCUGCAACCGCACAGGCACUGUCCCGAGGAAAGGGUCUUCUCAAGAGCUGCAGAAUUGCCGCUGGGGGACACAGGCAGCACGCGGGGACGCUCUUCUGUGCCCCGCCGCUAUGCCCUGCCUUGCUGUCCCUCCCGUCAGCCCCCUGCCGCUUGUUCUUUUUGGACACGGGGUCCUUGUGCCCUCGGCCCGUGGCCCUGGGCAGCUGUCCUUCUCCGAGGGCGUUUAUCGCUGCUCAGAGCGGUUUGCGUUCUCUCAAAAAAGACCUACAGCUCCAUCAGGGCGCGAGCUGGCCCCGGGCAAACGCGCCGCCCGCUCGUCUUGUCUGGGUGAAGUGCUGCACAAGUGGUACUCACUUGGUCCGGGAGUGACGGUGGUCUUCGUCGCGGGUCGUCCCCGGAGCUGGGCGCCCGGAGCCACGUACUUCCCGUUCCUGGUGAUGGCGGGCUCCACAAAGUAGCAGGGACCUGGCCCGCAGCUCCCUGCCGCAGGCGGUUUGGUCCCUCUAAACGUGUAGGCGGGGGCACGGGCUUUGGUGGGGCUGUGGCCCACAUAACCUAGGAGGAAAAGCAGAAGAGAGCACACCCCUGUGCAGCUGCACGUCUCAAGCUCCGUUGGAACAGGCGCAGUUAGGCGCCGGGCCCUGGCCCCGACAUUCCCUUCCCGCGUGACUUCUUCCUCCAAGAGCCCUGGAGGCGAGCUGUGCCGGGCCUCGGAGCGCACAAGAGUCAGUCCCUGAGUGCAAACGGCUGCGCGAGUGCCUUGCAAAGUCACCGCAAAAAGACAGCGGAGUUUUGGCCAGCACGCUGCCUGUACCCGCACCACGCGUGCAGGCACUCCACAGCGAGAGCCCCCUAAGGGUCAAUUGUUCUGCAAGACCCCGUAACGCCUCUCUACAGCUGCAAAGCUGAGUCUGCGCUGGCCAGAAGCGGGCCCCUUUUUCCCCGGGCCACAAGGAGCAGCGCCAGCGGCACCGGCCUUCCUCGGCCAGGCCUGGCUCGCGGCUGCGCCAGGGAGCCAGGAGGCUCUGACAGAACGGGGAAAGGCUCGGGAGCUGCUCUGCCCCGCCAUGUCCCCGGUGCGCCUCACGCCCUGGGGAUGGUGGCUGUACCUGUUGUCCCCGGGAUGGAGUACUGGGGCCCGGGGCUGGGGAACUGGGCCGAGAUGAGGCCGCGUGGGCGAUGAGGUCUCCAGGUCCCCACCCAGGCUCCGUCCAUGCUGGCAGGCAUGUGCCUCCAAACCUAAAGGCAAGAACAGAGGAGUUACUGACGGGCUGCCCCAACAGAGGCCGCAGGUGAGCUUUGCUUCCCGCCCCCCGCGUCUCCUCUGCUCAGCCGCAAGCUGUCCGCCACGUGGCUUGCAGCUCCUGAGCCGGAAGGGCCGGCAGCAGUUUCUCCCGCUCACUGCCAGUCCUGCCAGUCUCGUGCUGCAUGCCCCUCGCGCACACCGGAGCUCAGCCCGCACCCUGCAGCUGGGCUCUGCAGCCUGACGUGUGCAGGAGCUCUCCCUCACCUCUCUGAGCCUUGGAGGACGAGCGCGAUGAGGCUGAGCUAGUCUGCUGCUGGGGCUGCUCUCAGGCACAGGGCACGGCGAGCGGCUGCGGGCAGCACAGCUCACAAAUGAGGCGCCUGGAGCCAGCGGCCAGCUGUCCUUGGGGAGGGCCCGGCGUCGUCAUGGCAAUGCAUUGUGACAGCACACGGGCUCCGGGUGAUGUCAUCUGUGCUGUGACAUCUCCUGGCUGGCCUGGAGCCACGCCCGCCACGCCUUUUCGGCCUCGCACCCCAACCAGUACAAAGCCGUAGCGCACGCUGCCGACACCUGCAGAUGGACUGAGCUCUCACUUCUAGCCACGUGCCGCCCGGGGCUCCUGAGGCUCGGUCAGCGUCACCUGCAAGGGAGAGAUUACGUUACUUCGAACCUACUGGAACAUUUCUGAGAAUGACACUCUGUUCUUUGGAGCUCUGUGUGUAUAUAUGUAUAUAUAAAAAUAAAUAUACGAGAGCCCUAAAAGCACA